CCGCCUCAGCGCCGCCCCUCCCGCCCGGCGCUGAGGGCGGGCAGUUUUGCCGCUCGCUCCCUCACGGGAUCGAUGAGGUUGGAAAAGAGCUCCGCGAUCGAUCAGACUGGGGGUACUCGAUGUUGUUAGGGAAUAAUCAGCUUACGGGGGAAAGCAAGGCCUUCAAGGUGCUCACACCGUUUCUGGAGUGAAAACCAUCAGAAAACCACAAGGUUUUGCAAGAGUUGCUCUACAGUCGCCAGAGUUGGCAGUGCUGCUGUCGUGGGGACAGGAGUCAGCAUCACCAGCUUCCCAUCUGCAGCUCCAGCCAGGCAAGGCUCUGACCCCACCGAGUUAUUGCAAUAAUUAAUAGCUACCAUUUGUACAUAUUCUGAAUGCUUUGCAAGCAAUGCCUGAUCUCAUUAAAUUGUGCAUUGACUUAUUUUCAUCCUGUCGUGGAGUUAAAACAGACACUGCUUCCUUCAUAUUCAUGGGAGAUGGAGUCAGGAAUUUGUUCCUAUACUGGAACUGCUACCAUUGGGUCUAUGGCUACCUGCUAUGGGUUUUACUGAAAUAUAGAGCCACCUGCUAUGCAGAAUGCCUGAUUUUUAAUAGACUUGCAGGCUGGUGAGAGUCCAGGUACCAUGAUCCAAAGUAAACAAGUCUGGAAAGAACGUACCAGCUUUUAAAUCCAUGACAGGGAACUAAGGCAGGAAGGAUUUGUGAAACUACAGGCACAAGUUUGACAAUAAGCAAAGAAAAGCAUUACUUUUAGGUACAGUGCCAUUUCCCCAAUUUUAAUAAAGCUUUCUGCCUAGAAAGAGAA
Cyanistes caeruleus (blue tit) is the source of this 805-nucleotide non-coding RNA. Lineage: Eukaryota; Metazoa; Chordata; Aves; Passeriformes; Paridae. The record is from RefSeq and is a predicted model, not a curated record.